Molecule: ribosomal RNA, 460 nt
Filed under: uncultured bacterium
Lineage: Bacteria
Description: partial 16S ribosomal RNA
Rfam family: Bacterial small subunit ribosomal RNA
Source: RNAcentral
CCUACGGGUGGCAGCAGUGAGGAAUAUUGGUCAAUGGACGAGAGUCUGAACCAGCCAAGUAGCGUGAAGGAUGACUGCCCUAUGGGUUGUAAACUUCUUUUAUAUGGGAAUAAAAUUUUCCACGUGUGGGAUUUUGUAUGUACCAUAUGAAUAAGGAUCGGCUAACUCCGUGCCAGCAGCCGCGGUAAUACGGAGGAUCCGAGCGUUAUCCGGAUUUAUUGGGUUUAAAGGGUGCGUAGGUGGAUUGUUAAGUCAGUUGUGAAAGUUUGCGGCUUAACCGUAAAAUUGCAGUUGAAACUGGCAGUCUUGAGUACAGUAGAGGUGGGCGGAAUUCGUGGUGUAGCGGUGAAAUGCUUAGAUAUCACGAAGAACUCCGAUUGCGAAGGCAGUUCACUAGACUGCAACUGACACUGAGGCUCGAAAGUGUGGGUAUCAAACAGGAUUAGAUACCCCAGUAGUC